CUGCUGCCUCCCGUAGGAGUUUGGGCCGUGUCUCAGUCCCAAUGUGGCCGUCCACCCUCUCAGGCCGGCUACUGAUCGC
RNAcentral lists this ribosomal RNA (79 nucleotides) under uncultured bacterium. RNAcentral describes it as "partial 16S ribosomal RNA". The record is from RNAcentral.